AACGAACGCUGGCGGCAUGCUUAACACAUGCAAGUCGAACGAGGUCACUGGGGCUUGCCCUGGUGGUUUAGUGGCGCACGGGUGAGUAGCGCGUGGGAACCUGCCCAGUAGUGGGGGAUAACCGAUGGAAACGUCGGCUAAUACCGCAUGCGCCCCGGGGCAACUCGGGGGAAAGAUUUAUCGCUAUUGGAGGGGCCCGCGUCGGAUUAGCUAGUUGGUGGGGUAAAGGCCUACCAAGGCGAUGAUCCGUAGCUGGUCUGAGAGGAUGAU
RNAcentral lists this ribosomal RNA (270 nucleotides) under uncultured bacterium. RNAcentral describes it as "partial 16S ribosomal RNA". It matches the Rfam family "Bacterial small subunit ribosomal RNA", at positions 29 to 304 of the family's 1533-position model. The record is from RNAcentral.